AAAUUGAAGAGUUUGAUCAUGGCUCAGAUUGAACGCUGGCGGCAGGCCUAACACAUGCAAGUCGAACGGUAACAGGAAGCAGCUUGCUGCUUUGCUGACGAGUGGCGGACGGGUGAGUAAUGUCUGGGAAACUGCCUGAUGGAGGGGGAUAACUACUGGAAACGGUGGCUAAUACCGCAUAACGUCGCAAGACCAAAGAGGGGGACCUUCGGGCCUCUUGCCAUCAGAUGUGCCCAGAUGGGAUUAGCUAGUUGGUGAGGUAACGGCUCACCAAGGCGACGAUCCCUAGCUGGUCUGAGAGGAUGACCAGCCACACUGGAACUGAGACACGGUCCAGACUCCUACGGGAGGCAGCAGUGGGGAAUAUUGCACAAUGGGCGCAAGCCUGAUGCAGCCAUGCCGCGUGUAUGAAGAAGGCCUUCGGGUUGUAAAGUACUU
This 438-nucleotide ribosomal RNA is filed under the name Salmonella enterica. Its description in RNAcentral is "bacterial SSU rRNA". It matches the Rfam family "Bacterial small subunit ribosomal RNA", at positions 1 to 435 of the family's 1533-position model. The record is from RNAcentral. RNAcentral also lists the same sequence under 1 other name. Lineage: Bacteria; Pseudomonadati; Pseudomonadota; Gammaproteobacteria; Enterobacterales; Enterobacteriaceae.